This is a long non-coding RNA of Triticum dicoccoides, 573 nucleotides long. RefSeq lists it as uncharacterized. The record is from RefSeq and is a predicted model, not a curated record. The transcript has 3 exons. Lineage: Eukaryota; Viridiplantae; Streptophyta; Magnoliopsida; Poales; Poaceae.
GUAGUGCACUAUCUAUCUAUCCAUUCAAGAAAAUUGAUGGCGAUGGAAUCCGCGUGUGUGCGUGUGUGGCUGUGCCUCUGGUCGCUCGAUGGUUUUUUAGGUUCCGUAAAGUAUGAAACUGCUGGUCCUAUUCUGAAUUCUAAUAAUGUUGAUCACCAGAGAGAAAGAGAUCAGAGGACGGAUGGAAGGGAUGGCGACAACGUCAUAUUCGAAAGGAAAUAACGCUGGAAUACCUUGUUGUUGCUACCUGUCAGAGUUCAUAAUUAUGAACUAAAUUACUUGGCACUUCUUAGUUGCCAAACUUGACAGUUGCUAAGACCUUCUGUCGACAAGAUACACAAACAUACAAUUGCAUGUUCUCCCUAGAUCGCGGAUGCAAUCGUGGCAUGAGAUUGUUAAGAGUGAAGGCAUGCAUAUGGGUACUAUGUAGAGUAUUCGAAGAGGUCAUCUUCAUGAAACUAGCAGAGGAUAGACAUUGGGAAAAAUGAGAGAUGAGGUGAGUUUUUGUUGUUCACCAUCCAAUUCAAGCAUCACACAAAUUAAGCAUUACUAUUCAAAGGAUGCAUAGUUAAC